This 450-nucleotide ribosomal RNA is filed under the name uncultured bacterium. RNAcentral describes it as "partial 16S ribosomal RNA". It matches the Rfam family "Bacterial small subunit ribosomal RNA", at positions 354 to 796 of the family's 1533-position model. The record is from RNAcentral.
GUGGGGAAUAUUGGACAAUGGGCGCAAGCCUGAUCCAGCAAUGCCGCGUGGGUGAAGAAGGCCUUCGGGUUGUAAAGCCCUUUUGUACGGAAAGAAAUCCUGGUGGUUAAUACCCGCCGGGGAUGACGGUACCGUAAGAAUAAGCACCGGCUAACUUCGUGCCAGCAGCCGCGGUAAUACGAAGGGUGCAAGCGUUAAUCGGAAUUACUGGGCGUAAAGCGUGCGUAGGUGGUUUCUUAAGUCUGUCGUGAAAGCCCUGGGCUCAACCUGGGGAUGGCGAUGGAUACUGGGAGGCUAGAGUGCGGUAGAGGAUGGCGGAAUUCCCGGUGUAGCGGUGAAAUGCGUAGAGAUCGGGAGGAACAUCUGUGGCGAAGGCGGCCAUCUGGACCAGCACUGACACUGAGGCACGAAAGCGUGGGGAGCAAACAGGAUUAGAAACCCUGGUAGUCC